AAGUUGUUUAGGAAAUUUUAGGGAUAAAUUCAAAAGAAACUAGGGUAAAAUGUGGUAAAAAAAACGUAACUGGAAACACUGCUUUGAAGUUUUCAAAAUUCCAGGGCCGUAAAACAACCUCAAAAAAAAAAAAGAGUUUUCAAAAUGUCGUAACGCUUUAAUUUUUUAAAUCGUUUUUUUUUUGUCUUGGUGUGAGUUAUUUUACGUUGUAGUAUUAAUUUAGAGCAACUUUUAGCUUUAUGAGAAUAUUAGACGAUUAGACAUUGAGAAACUCUGUUUUGAAUUCUCUUUAGACAUAACUUGGCUCCAAUACUUUUUUCUUCGUUAGCGUUUCGUAAGCCUGUGUAACUAUUUUCAUUUCUUACAGAAAGUUUAUUAUUAAAAAUCAGCAUGCCUCGAAGAUCGAAAAUGAAAUGCUAUUUCGGAUGCCUUGAUAACGACAAAGGUUUGAUAGUGACAAAAUUUUAUGGUAAAAUUAUAAGGAGCACUAAAAUGUCUGAAAUAUGAAAAGAUUGAUGCACUAUAUUUGAACCAGAACGUGUUAUGUAAUAUAUUAAUUUAAGAGAAACUGAUUCAGCAAGGAACGUGAACUCUCAAGGAUCUUAAUUUUUUUUAAAUAUGUUUAUAAUUUAUAAAUUAAUAAUUGAAAUAGUUCAUAAGAACUAAAUUGAUGCCAAUUUUGUUUUAAAAUAGGUUGUUUAGUUCUUAUAGUAUUACGUUUGAAUAGUUAUAAUUAGUAAGUUAGUAAUAUAUGAAAAUACUGAUAUAAAUUUUUGUAAAUAACCUUUUGUAAAUUCUACGAGAAGAUGAUUUUAAUUAAUGAUCAAAAGUCAACGGUCUUCAAAAGCAUUAUUUGCAAUUAUUUAGAUUAACUGUGGAAUAUAUUUUUACUAAGUUGUGUUUUCUGUAUGAGCAGAUAUAAAUGAAAAUGCCCAAACAUGAUUAUGUUUCUUACAUUUUCAUUAUGUGAAAUCAAUAUGCUUGUGACUGAGUAUAUUAAUAAUUUAUUAAAACUUAAGUGAUAGACAGCAACCCCUAUGGCACUGCUGAAGUUUAUAAGCACUGGUGACCACUUAUCAUGAGCCGGGUUGCGUGCUCGUCUGCUGUUGAGUCCAAUAAAAAUUUUCGAAACCCUUUCUAUUAUUUAGAUGUAAUAUUAAUGUACAUUUAAUUUGGAUUAAAAGAUAAAUUUACAUUUUAUGUUUGCAUGUGUAUGUUUAUAAUUCAUUUGCAUGUAACGAACAUCAGUUUCUUUUGUAACAAAAUGCAAACUAAUGGUUUGUAAUGAAUGUAAUUAACUUUAAGAUGAUUUUCUUUCAAUCUGCUGUUUGUUUCAUUUAGUAUUACCAAAUAUAAGAAUGCUAAGAAUAAUUUAGUAUUCACUUUAGUGUGUGUAUUAUCUCUACAAUGCUAGUUUAAAUGACAAUUAUUGUAUGACGAAGCAUAGGUAGUGUUUAAAGAUGUAAUAUUUUCAUACAAGAUGAUCAUGAUCAUGAUCUGUCACGAUCAACUUUAAGCAAGAACUGCUAUCGUUAAGAAACAAAUUUAUUUAAUUUAAUUCAAAUUGUCUACUAUGUUUGUAAUGGAAAGCUGACAUGUUUAUAUUUCGCACAAAUGACUUAUUGACAUAGAAUGAUUUGAUUAUCUAGACUUAAUUAACUUUUAGAUAACUUUCGAUUUAAUGUUAAUAAGUACGCUAGUAGGAUUAAUCUAGAGGAAUUAUUGUUAUUCGAAAUUUUAUACAAUUGUACGUUCAUACAAUCUUUUAACAGAAAAUUGUUUGUAAUAUAGGGAAAUUAAAUAGCUUACAGAGAA
This is a long non-coding RNA of Bombyx mori (domestic silkworm), 1815 nucleotides long. RefSeq lists it as uncharacterized. The record is from RefSeq and is a predicted model, not a curated record. The transcript has 3 exons. NCBI's taxonomy places the organism in Eukaryota, Metazoa, Arthropoda, Insecta, Lepidoptera, Bombycidae.